This 552-nucleotide transfer RNA is filed under the name uncultured Flavobacteriaceae bacterium. Its description in RNAcentral is "16S-23S ribosomal RNA intergenic spacer". The stretch from base 102 to 175 matches the Rfam family "tRNA". The record is from RNAcentral. Lineage: Bacteria; Pseudomonadati; Bacteroidota; Flavobacteriia; Flavobacteriales; Flavobacteriaceae.
AGAGAAAGACGACUAAGGUAGAUUAUUAAGAAAGCUUAAAACUCGUUUUGUUCGGCUGUCAUUUUUUUUAUUAUACUAUAACAAACCUAAGUAGGAAGUAGAGUCUCGUAGCUCAGCUGGUUAGAGCGCUACACUGAUAAUGUAGAGGUCGGCAGUUCGAGUCUGCCCGAGACUACUUUUUUUUGUUUAGGGGGUUUAUAGAAAGGAAAUUCUAGAGGUUGGGAUUCCACAUUUAGUAUCUCAUCCUUACAGGAUAGACUUUACGGGGGAUUAGCUCAGCUGGCUAGAGCGCCUGCCUUGCACGCAGGAGGUCAUCGGUUCGACUCCGAUAUUCUCCACGGUUCUAUAGAAUAGGGUUAAUCGACAAAGCAUUUGUUAUCCAACAUUUAGUGCUUAGUUUGAUUAAUUUUAUUUGUUUUAACUAGAAAGACGUUCAUUGACAUAUUGAAAAUAGAUACAAAAAUAAAAACGUAUCAAUCAUAUUUAUAUAUAAUAUAAAACAUGGUUGUACGAGCAAAUAGAGUAAUUACAAAACUAAAAGAGAAAAGUUAC